Molecule: long non-coding RNA, 2102 nt
Organism: Anolis carolinensis (green anole)
Lineage: Eukaryota; Metazoa; Chordata; Lepidosauria; Squamata; Anolidae
Exons: 2
Source: RefSeq, a predicted model, not a curated record
UAGUGACACCUCUUCAAGAGCAACAAAAGAUAGUACGAUGACAUCAAUGAGUUCUGACAUGAUGCAGCAUGAAGUCUAUCAACCUUUUGAAUUGCAGUUUACAAAUAUUAUCUUCCCAGUAUGAGCAAAUCAUAGGACACUCUGUUUGUUCAGGAUACUUUGGCCUGAUGUACCCAUAUUGGCCAUGGCUAAGGUCCUUUAUGCCAUCAUAUACAGCCCUUGGCUGCAUAAGAUCAUCCCUGCAUCAGCCAGAAGUAGACAUCUACAUGAAAUUACAGUAAAUUCUAAAAUUCCAAGAAGUUCCAAUGGAUCCUGCAGAGUUUCAGCAUCUUCACUUUCUCUCCAUCUCAUCAUCUUCAUAGCUUGGAGACCAAAAGAAGAAUCUGCCUGAAGAGACUAAAAGCAAAUUUUAUUAUACACAAGAACAAAUUGCCUGAUCAUGAAAACUGCCUGGCUACUCUGAAUGAAGUAGCAACAAUAUGUAAAGUUGCAUUUGUUUCUGGCUUGCUGAUCUCUAUCAUAUGAACAAUUCAGAUGACUGAAAACUUCUAUUUGGAGAACAUAAUUUACUACAGUUAUUUGCUUCUCAAAAAUCACCAAUGACUUUCACCUCAUAAACAGCUUGCAAACCUGACAAGGAAACUUUGAGUAAAAGUUUAGAACUACUGCAGUGAUCAUGAGGCAGCAGGUUUACUAAAUGUCCUUUAUUGUAAGGACUGUCCCUUAUUUUUGGACUUAGAAGACUUGUCUGGCAGGUGUCCCUUAUUGCAAAGGAUGCCCUUAUUUGAAGGUUGGAAAGCUUUUCCUUUUAUUUAUACGGAACAACAUGCCAAGGCUGAACAAGACAUUAAAAAGCCUAUAUUUUGGGAUGUGAACAGAAAUAUGUGUAUCAUGUCAUCUAUGAAUGAGGAUAAUGUUUUGGUUUUAAAGAGAAAUACAUAGCUAAGUAAAUAGAAAUCAACAGUUUCAUUUGGCAUUUAGACAGACAAAUUUGUUCAUAGUUACAUGUUGAUUGUUCAUCCUGUGUGGCAUGAAGUUCAACUGUCAGGUAAUACAAUUUUAAAAACCUGGCAACACCAGCGUAAAGCGUUUUCUGUCAAGUUAUUGUUCUGCUAAACAAGAAUGACACUUUCAUAAUGUAAGAGUUCAGAGAUUUUCAGCAACUCCAAGAAAAUCCUGUUGUUAGAUUGAACGUGUAGCUCCUGAAGAAGGCCAACCAAUAAUAUAGAGCCAAAACAACUUGGGCUUUUUAUAAAACAAGAUAUGCCAAAGUCCUCACUUCUAUACACAUAAUAAAAGUGGAAAAAGUAUAUGUGUGUAUGUGACAGAGGUGUCCAUUUAACACAGACAGACUCCCGCCUCCACAAACAGCUACAGUUCCCACUGAACAGUAGACACCAAUGGCCCUUCCUCCACUGACAUGCAGGUUAUAGUGAGCGCCAUGAACAUGUAGCUCGAACCCUGCUAGUGUCCUCCACAAACACCAUUCUGCCCCCAUCCAAGUGAAGGCUUUCAUACAGAGACAAUUUCAUCCUAGAUGUUCUAUUUUUCCCCCAGAAUGGACAUCCCAGGGUUCCUUAGUUUGCAUAGCCCUGCCCACUGCCUUUACCUUAACCUUUCCUACAUUUUCCUAUGGCACACAGUUAACAGAGGAAUUGAUCAGCAACUGAACAAGAGGUUUGGGGAGAAUUCACCAUGAUUUACAGGAGUUGUACUUGACCUACAUCAAGGGAGUACUGUUAACCCAACCAACAAUAGAUCUGGACCAAAGUUGCCUCAGAUGAUGGGACUUGCAGUACUAUGCAGUAUUAUGACCCCCACCAACAAUGGACUGGGACUAAACUUGGCACAGAGAAGCCCAAUGACCAACUGAACAUACUGCAGGGGUUAGUGGACGGACCUUGAUUUCGGGAGUUAUACUUCACCUACAUCCAGAAAAACUGGGACCUCCACUGACAAUGGACUGGGACAGAUCUGGACCAAACUUGGCACACAGACCUAACAUGCCCUACUGCAAAUACUGGCAAAGUUUGGGUGUGAUUGCCCUGGGAAUCUGGGAGUUGUAGUUCACCCUUAUCCAGACAGCACUGAACCCAGCCAAU